UACGUAGGGGGCUAGCGUUGUUCGGAUUUAUUGGGCGUAAAGGGCAUGUAGGCGGUUUUGUAAGUGUGGGUUAAAAUCUCCGAGCUUAACCCGGGACCUGGCCUGCAAACUGCGUAACUAGAGUUCAGGAUGGGAAGGUGGAAUUCCGCGUGUAGGGGUGAAAUCUGUAGAUAUGCGGAAGAAUACCGGAGGCGAAGGCGAGUUUCUGGCCUGAAACUGACGCUGAGAUGCGAAAGUGUGGGGAGCAAACAGG
This 253-nucleotide ribosomal RNA is filed under the name uncultured prokaryote. Its description in RNAcentral is "partial 16S ribosomal RNA". It matches the Rfam family "Bacterial small subunit ribosomal RNA", at positions 524 to 776 of the family's 1533-position model. The record is from RNAcentral.